GGGCCACACCCACGGCAUGUGGAAGUUCCCAGGCUAGGAGUUGAAUCAGAGCUGCAGCUCCCGGGCUAUGCCACAGCCACAGCCACAGCAACAUGGGAUCCAUGCUACAUCUGUGACCUAUAUCAUAGCUCACAGCAACGCCGGAUCCUUAACCCACUGAGCAAAGCCAGGGAUUGAACCUGUGUCCUCAUGGAUACUAGUCCGUUUUGUUACCACUGAGCUACGAUGGGAACUCCCCCUAUUGGAUAGUAUAUGUCAAGUGAUUUCUCAUUUACAUCAUUAUCUAUGCCUAAACACUACCAAAAUUCAAACAAAUUCCAUGGAGAUAAUAGUGACUCUGGAAAGUUGAUUUCUGCUUCUCCUGAAACAUACAUUCUUCCUUUCCAGAUAUUUUGUCAGUUAGGUACUAUCCAUUAGUGACAACCCAAAGAUCCAGACACUGGAAAUUUCUAAACCUUACCAACUUCUGAUUAGUACUGAGUAACUAGCAUAAGAUAGAUCACAGAUUGGCAAACUAUGGUCCAUGUUCUGUUUCUAUAUGGACUGCCUACUAAGAAUGGACUUAACAUUUUAAAAGAAAGGUAAAUACAAACCAAAUAUGCAAGAGUGAAGGUAGGUGCCUCGCAAAUAUUUAUUCUCUUGCUCUUAAAAAAAAAAAAAAAUGUGCCCAUGCCUGAUAGAUGACUGUUAAAUAAAGUGGGCACAAAAAUUCAGAUAUACAAUUAGCUGCUUUUUAUUUUGGUCAUUCUACUAUUACACCCUUUUUUUUUUGUCUUUUUGCCUCUUGAGGGCCGCUCCCGCGGCAUAUGGAGGUUCCCAGGCUAGGGGCUCCAUCGGAGCUGUAGCUGCCAGCCUACGCCAGAGCCACAGCAACGUGGGAUCUGAGCCGCGUCUGCGGCCUACACCACAGCUCACGGCAACGCCGGAUCCUUAACCCACUGAGCGGGGCCAAGGAUCAAACCCGCAACCUCAGGGUUCCUAGUCGGAUUCGUUAACCACUGAGCCACGAGGGGAACUCCUCUUACACCUAUUUAAACAGUAGUGUUUCUUUUAUGUUACUCUCUUAAAGUUAUUUACCCUUUCUACUCAAAAGAUGGUGCUUUAGGUAACAAAUUUUGUUAUGCCCCUUCAGUUAUUAACAGAGUUAAUCUUUUAACUGAGGAAGGCUCUUAUUUUCUGGCUAUUUCACAUUUCUUUUUCCAAUUUAAAACUCUUACAGAUUCCAUGAUAUGAAACCCUUUGAAUAUUAUAUUUAUUAUAUAAUUUUUUUUUGGCCACACCCACAGCAUGUAGAUGUUCUGGGCCAGGGAUCAAAUCCAUGUCACAGCAGCAAUCCAAGCCAUAGCAGUGACAACGUUGGAUCCAGAUCCUUAACCUGCUUCACCACCUGGAAAGUCCACACAGAGUAGACAUGAUAUUAGAUAUACAAAUUACUAAAAGUGAACUUUUGUAUUGGAACCACUGCUUUAAUUUUUAUGGGCUGGUUUAGGUUAAUAACAUUUGUAAUUUUAUAAAGAAACGGUAUAGAUUAAUGAAAGCAUCAAAUUAUUAGUGGUAUUAACAGGCCCUGAAGUAAAUCGUAUUCCAGAUUUAGGAAAGGCCUCGGAAGGGCUGUGGUAAAAACAAAUGACAGGAUUAACUGGAAAUCUACCAGGAGUAAUUUACUGUUACAAUGUGAUUUAGGAGAUAAAAAACUGAUAAGAUAGGUACUUUUGUGUCAUCCAGAAGCAUCCAACUAAAACAUUAAUAUAUAACUUGGGGAUUAUAACAUAUUGAGAAAGAAUGCUGACUGAUAAAUGCAGGCAUAAUAAGCCUGGUGGAUUAUUCCUGGAAUCUAGAAAAAGAGCUAGAAAUUAAGAAUCUAUUAGUGUUCAGCCAGUGCCACUUUUCCAAAGAGAAGAAAUACUAUGUCUAGUAGAUAUAAUUACUUUGUUUUCCAAAAAAAAAAAAAAAAAAAAGAUAUAAGCUGGAAUCAAAGAAAUAAAUAUUUACGGGCUUUCACAGAAAGGGCCAAACUUAAAUUUGUCUAGGAUCACUGACCCAGCUUUCCUACCAAGUGGCAGAAUGAGGAACUGGCCCACAUCAUUCAGUCCUCAUGGCUCUACUUCCAUGGCCACCAAAAAAUUCCCGAUUUCUAAUUUCGCAUACAGCUAAAUUACAUCAGGAAGAGGCUGCAAUUAGUAUUGCUGAGACUUGAAAUGGAAAAAAUAUUUUUAAAAAUGUAAAUGUACAUGGCUAGCUAUCUUGAGGUCUGAGCAUAUUCUGGUGAGAUAAAUCUAGAUUCGACGUUAAAAAGUGAGAGCAGAGGAGCUCUCUGGCAGCCUAGAGGUUACGAAUCUGGCAUUGUCAAUGCAGUGGCUCAGCUCACUGCUGAGGCACUGGGUUCGAUCUCUGGCCCAGGAAUUUCCAUGUGCCAUGUGUUUCCCCCCAGCCCCCAAAAAGGUGAAAUCAGAGCUUCCAAACAAAUGGGACAAGAGUGUUAGAGGUACAAUGAGCAGAUGGUCCCCUCAGGCCCCAGAGAUGGCUGGAGCCCCUUUAAUCUACCCACAGCAUUCAUUUACCCUGGCGUGCCAUACAAAUAUUAUACUUUCCUAUGUGUGUUAUGAUAUGAAAAAUGUGGGUGGCAGAGAGUUGACACGACUCUGUGGUAAUGCCACCCCAGGCGGCAUCCUGUGUCACUUAAUACAUCCAAUGGAUUGUACUCAUUAAGUAUAUCAUAAAUAAUGGCUAAAUUCCAUCUUGAUGCAAUUAUAAACUCUUCCUUAUGAAUAAUGAGAAAAAUAUUUUUAUAACUUAUCUAAAUUUUUUUUCUUUGCUUUUUAGUGCCACACCUGUGGCAUAUGGAAGUUCCCAGGCUAGGCGUCGAAUUGGAGCUGCAGCUGCUGGCCUCCACCACAGCUGAGCAACACAGGAUCCAAGCUGCGUCUGUGACCUACACCACAACUCACUGCAACGCCAGAUCCUUAGCCUACUAAGCGAGGCCAGGAAUUGAACCCACAUCCUCAUGGAUACUAGUUGGGUUCAUUACUGC
This 3031-nucleotide long non-coding RNA is filed under the name Sus scrofa (pig). Its description in RNAcentral is "lncRNA (ENSSSCG00040020207.1)". Lineage: Eukaryota; Metazoa; Chordata; Mammalia; Artiodactyla; Suidae. The record is from RNAcentral.